RNAcentral lists this ribosomal RNA (501 nucleotides) under uncultured bacterium. RNAcentral's name for it is "bacterial SSU rRNA". It matches the Rfam family "Bacterial small subunit ribosomal RNA", at positions 30 to 525 of the family's 1533-position model. The record is from RNAcentral.
AUUGAACGCUGGCGGAAUGCUUUACACAUGCAAGUCGAACGGCAGCACGGGGCAACCUGGUGGCGAGUGGCGAACGGGUGAGUAAUACAUCGGAACGUGCCCAAUCGUGGGGGAUAACGUAGCGAAAGUUACGCUAAUACCGCAUACGAUCUACGGAUGAAAGCAGGGGACCGCAAGGCCUUGCGCGUUUGGAGCGGCCGAUGGCAGAUUAGGUAGUUGGUGGGGUAAAAGCUUACCAAGCCGACGAUCUGUAGCUGGUCUGAGAGGACGACCAGCCACACUGGGACUGAGACACGGCCCAGACUCCUACGGGAGGCAGCAGUGGGGAAUUUUGGACAAUGGGGGAAACCCUGAUCCAGCAAUGCCGCGUGCAGGAUGAAGGCCUCGGUUGUAACUGCUUUGUUACGGAACGAAAAGGACGUCUGGUUAAUACCUGGGGCGUCAUGACGGUACCGUAAGAAUAAGCACCGGCGUAACUACGUGCCAGCAGCCGCGGUAAGU